Equus caballus (horse) is the source of this 2679-nucleotide long non-coding RNA. The record is from Ensembl. NCBI's taxonomy places the organism in Eukaryota, Metazoa, Chordata, Mammalia, Perissodactyla, Equidae.
CCCGGGUGCAGUUAAACGCUCCCAGAUCCCAAUUAAGUGAUUUCAAAUGCAAUUCAUUCCGGCUCAUUAAAUAAUUCCUGGGCUGGCUUUCCUUCUAUGACCACCUUAGAAAUCUCUUUUUCCAGAGAAGAGGAAAACACCGAGGGCGGCUUGAUAACAGGAGACCAUCCGGUCUGGGAUGGGGAAGCGGAAGGAUUUCUGCUUGGCCUCUCCAGCAUCGUAUUUUGCAUUUCACUCCCUCCCUCGGGUUCCCACCCCGCUCCCCCUCCAGCUCUCUGCCUCCCUCCUUUUCUCUCGGAAAUGACUUCACCUGACAGCUAUGGAUUUAGAGCUUUUUUGCCAAUUACUUAUGCCCAGUGAGAAAAUAGGUUUUUAAUGUCUGUCCUUGUUCCGCCCAGCCUGGCUCCCUCACCGUGAAGUGAGCCCACGGCCCCUCUCCCCGAGCAGACUGCGCUCCUUGCCAAAGGCUCUGUUCCCCGGGGAGGCAUCCAUGCUACAGAGCAGGAUGGACCAGCCUGUGCGUUCGGCUUCCCUGGGCAGCCCAGUUCAACGCUCAUUCAUUCAUUCAUCCUUCAUUACUAAGAUUUACUGAGGAUUUACUAUACGCCAGGUAUCAGGGUUCGUAAGGAGCAGGCAAGAGGAAAGGGCUGGAAAAGUAGUUUCAGGUUAAAUCUUCGUGAACCUUGAAGCAACUGAGAAUGAUUUAACAAGACAAGGGGGAGCCAUGGAAGGUCUCCAGGCAUCAGGAGCCAGGAGAUACACUUGAACUCAGGCAACGGCGGGUAGAGGCUGGAGGAAGGGUGACCAGAGAGGAGGCCGUUUCGAUGUUCCUAGCAGGAGUUUCUGGCAUCCUGAGUUUUGCAAAGUGGCAGCCACAUGGGGAGGAGAGGACAGUACCACGAGACUAUGCAAGGGAGAGGAGGCUUGGGAACUGCAAGGGCCUGGACACUGACUGCACGCCUAGGAGGAUGGAGAAGGAGAGGACAGGAGGGCUGCGGAGGAAUCCCCAUCUCAGGGGAGCAAUGAGCGAUGCAGGCCACCAAAUGGUAGGAGCGGAGGGCACUCAGAGGAAGGCUUCCUGCUCACCGUGACCCAGCGCCUCUGGGAGAAAGCCAGGAGGUGGCAACCCCGGGCACUUUGCUCAUCUGCAGUCCCAAGGGGAGCGCAAAGCGGGGGCCAAGGAGGCUGCACUGGGAAGGCCUGCUGGAAGGGCCUGGACGGCAUCACCUUGGCAGAGGAAGGCACAGUCUGAGCACUCGGGUCUGCUUGUUGACGGUGCUGAUGGGGACGGUAACAACAGCAGCAGUUAACUCGUGUGGGGAAGUCACCCCCUGCCGGGCCCAUCGCAGAACACAUCCCUCGCACAAGACUGAGCCACAGCUGAGCCUCACUUUACCCAGCAGACACUUCCCUGGGAGACACACAAACCAAGCUCCUGGGAAUUAAUUUAAAAUUGAAAUGGAAUUUGAUAUUUUAAUUCGUUAAAACAAGCAUGCAUUACUUUUGUAAUUAAAAAUAUAAGAAAUUUUUUAAAAAUGGAAACCAAGAUCUAUGCACAAAUAUACUCACUAAAGUAUUUUCUAGAAUAGCAAUGUGUUUGCCACCAGUAGACCACCAACUACGUCCAGGCAUUACACUGGGUGUGUUUUACGGCAGCUCAAACAAGUCCAUGACAGAGGUCCACAUAGAGCUCAUUAGCACUUCUCCUCAUGGAUUUCCAGACUCAGUGAUGGCAUCACAUUGCCCUGUCCUCUAGGCAAACUUCACAGAGUUGUGUCUGCUCUCUGCCUUGCCUUCCAGUUAUUCCUUAAAUCCAUACCUUCCCCUCCAUCCCAACUAUCCAGCCUCAGUGGGAGCCCCCACACCUCUCAUCUGAAUAUUCUCCCAACUGAUCUCCUUGACUUCAAUCUCCCCAGUCCAGUCCCCUCCAUGACAUCAGUGGCUCCUUCUAAAAUCCAAAGAGGAUGAUGCAAAUCUCCUGCCUAAAAUGCACCCACAAUCUCCCAUUGCUUUCAGGAUCAAAUCCAAAGAUCUUGGCAGGCCAUACAAACUCAUUAUGAGCUGGUUCCCACCUACAGAUCCAGCCCCAUCUCUCCCAACAAGCACCGUGGCCAAUUAUUGGCAGUUCCCAGAGCAUAUGCUGCUCCCUCUCACCUCUAGACCUUUAUGUGGCUGCUCCCUUAACCCUUCUCCCAAACUUUCACUCUUCCUGUAAGAUUGAGCUUUGACAUUACCCCCUCCGGGAAGCAUUUUCAGACCCCAGACUGGGUAAGCGCCUUUUCUCUGAGAUCUUAUAGAACCAAGGAACUUUUCUGUAACAGCUCCAACAAGGUUGUACUGCCCACUGAUUUAUAAAUGUCACAUGAGCAGGAAUACUGUUUAGGCCUCACAAAGGCCUUAUAGCAUAUGACACAAUAGCAGGUGUUCUAUCAAUGUCUGUCAAAUGAAUGAAUAUUUAACUGAUAUAUGAAUGGAUAAAAUAUUGGUUGGACCUCUUACCUGUCUUGUGAUAUUGGGUAAAUCUUGUACCUCCUAUAGGUCUCAGUUUCCUCAUCUGCAAAGUGGAAAUAAUAAUCUAAACAUUAAUAGUGAACAACGAAUGGUGGCCCAUUCACACAACCGAAAAUUACAUAAUCAAAAAAUGUUGAUCAAGACUAUGUAAUACCAUGGAAAAUGCAC